UUCUGGUCCAGGGCCAACAUUUCCUGGGAAAUUUGAUGAGAAUAACACUGCCAUCACCCCAACCAUGCUUACAGGCACACACAGCCAAGUAGAAUCAAACCUUGGCAGGGAUGUUGCUUGCAAAGCAGCAGAGCAGCAGCCUGAAUUAGGAAACAAGGUUAUGCCUCUUCCUGUGUCCUUGCAGACUGCAAUGCCUACUCCUGUUCAAAGUGAUGGUGUUGUCGCACUUCCUCUUCAGCAACCUGUUUCUGAUGCACAGUCAGCUGACUUUCCCAUCACAAGUGAUACAAUGAACCAGCAGGAGGAGCUGAUCAUUGGAGGAGGAACAAUAAGCAUCUCCAGUGUUUACUCUCAAGGGUUGUUGAGCAAUCUUACACAAGCAUUGCAGAGUGCUGGUGUUGAUUUGUCACAG
This 412-nucleotide unclassified non-coding RNA is filed under the name Hevea brasiliensis (rubber tree). The record is from RNAcentral. Lineage: Eukaryota; Viridiplantae; Streptophyta; Magnoliopsida; Malpighiales; Euphorbiaceae.